CGCUGAGGGAAGCUUAUCUGCAAACAUGGCCAGCCCUGGAGGCAGCACCCCCAGGCUGAUCCCGCUGCCUGGGGCAGCUGGUGUGAAGUCAGCUCCAAACGAUGGUGUGUAGGCACGCAGCUGAGACCUGGGGAGGAGAUUAGAGCUGGAAAAAGCUGCCUGCAGCUCAGGAUCUCUGCUGGUCAGAGUGACUCUGAGAUGAGUGCAGGUCUCUUUUCCCAGCCCGGCAGUCGAAGAAGGAGUCAGGAUUCUUCUGUUCUCGCUCUCAAGGUUUUUUAUUGUUUCUUAUCUAUGAUAUUCUUUCUCCUACCUGCCAAGGUCUGUCUGGCAGGUUGGGUUGAGGCACACUGGCCACCCCCAGGGCAGUGUUAUCUUUGUAUACUAAAAACUAGGUGUACAACAUUUACAAUUACUUCCCAACACCUAUCAUCUGUGUUAGACGGUGAGCUUCUACUCUAAACCAAUCCAAAAGUGCCACCAUCACCCAGAAGAUGGAGGCCAAGAAGAAGAAGGAGAAAGGCUGGACAUGCCCAGAUUCCUCCAUCUUGCCCCCUGAACCCCCAUUCUAAAAACCCCAAAAAUCUAUUUUUCACCCUCUGACCAACUAACUAUUAUUCUACUUAAACACUCUUGAGUCAUAAUUCUUCAUAUAAAGGUUGGCAAUUGUUUUUUCCAUGGGUCAAGAUCAAAGGCACAGGGGUCUUGAGCUCUGUGCCAAGGUCUCUGAGCCCUUUGGUCUUGAGUCCUCCAGGGCAGCCAGAGGAAUUUCUUGGGUUCCAACACCUGCACUGCCAGACCCAAGGGACUUUGCUGACCUGAACUCUGUCUUUAGGUUUUACUCCAGAGGGCUUCCCCAGAGGGUUUUCCUGUCAAGGAAGAGGGAUGUGUACACCAAGUUGUGAGAAACAACUGCUCACUUUGAAACUUUAAAGAGGUUUAUUAAACCUUGACAAAAAUACAGCAAAGGACUACAUGAGGAAAAAGCUGCAGUGCUGGGAACUGCCCCUCGUGCACACCACAUGGCCAGUUCACCUUCCAGAUGGAUGCUCAGGCUUUUAUACCCCUGGGGUUGCAUCAGCCAGCCCUGGCCCCUCCCAAAGUCUGUCAGUCAGCUCUUCUGUGCCAUUUAUCAGUGGAAACUGCUUUCUUGUCACUGCAUUGGAGGUCAGGUGUUGCCAUGCUGCUCCCCCUAAGCACCAAGCUUUUCCAUUCCCACCUGCCCCAGACCCAAGGCACAGCCAGCCCGAUGCCACAGGGCAAGCACGCAGUGACAAACCCUCUCAGAGUGCACCAAGUGACCUGGACCCACCAAGAGCAGUGCUGAUUCAAGUUUCUUCCACUCCUGUUGGAAAUGUGGGGUCAGAAGAUGAAAAUAAGCACUGAGGCCACUGCCAGCAGCCCAAAGGCCAGAGACUGCUUCCUACAGACACAGAGUCCCGUUGUGUGUGACACCAGAGGAUGGCGAGGAGGGGAAGAUUCACACCUGAAGGAAGGUGGUCUGUUGGGAGCUAGCUGAGAACUUCAGGUCAGGUGCAACCCUUGGCUCUAAAGGUCACAGCAGACAUGCUCUUGCCAAGGGGUCACUGCUGCCUGUGCACAGCCACCAGAACCUUCUGACUGAAUCAUCCUGACAUUGAAUUGUUCCUUUUGGAGCUCCUCUCCACCAUCCCACACCCAAGGUGUUAUUCACCCAAAAGGUGUUUUUAGCAUUCAUGAAUCUUCUGAAAAUUUCACUUUCUGGAGUAAACCUCUCCCUCAACAGGACCAGCACUGGUGUAAUUUUCUACCUUCUGACACCUUUCCCCUCAUUCCAUUUUUGUCCAGCUCAAUACAACAAAGCAACGGUUUUGAGUGUUUAAGGGAUUUUUUCCCCUCCAAUCAAUGGAGAAUUUUUCUAUUUUGUUGUUGGUAUGUACAUUUGGCCCGAAUCCUUCCUAGCAGCCUACAUCCCUCCUUGGCUCCAGUCUUUAGCAAGGACACACAUUGGAUCUGCUACCUGGACCAAGAUUUCCAUUGCCUGGGCCUUUGGCUCUCCUUGGAGUUGCUCCAGAGAAGGCAAUUCCUGCUGCUGCCAUUCAGCUGUGAGCCCUGGGUCAUGGUGCAGAUGGGGCCACUGCACAUCCCAGGAGCUCUGCUGGCACCACAGGCUGACAGAGAUGACCUGGAGGAGCAGGAGCUGAGGGACAGCCUGGCCAGGACUCAGCUCUGCAAACCAGAACCGACCUGGCUUUGGCCAUGAGCAGAUGGAAAGGGCUGGAAAAAAAAGCUUCUACACAAACAUUGUGAAAGGCAGCAGCCAACUGAUGGGGGAAACGUUCCAGUGCCAUGGCAAGGAGUUACCCACUGAAUCCUUGAUACCUCCAGAGAGGCUGAGCGAGGUGGCUGUGCUCUGGACAAGGCUUCACGGAGAGUGCCUUGCUGCAAGGAUACAGGAAAAGUGAGGGCUUGUUUUGCAAACAGAGCUGGGAAAGGUGAGAGGACAACAUCCUCCUUGUGCAGCGGGAAGGAGAGAUGUGAACUGGCUCGGCUGUCACAUCAGGGCUAACUGGCACGUGAUGGUAAUAAAGUGAUUUUCACAUCAUAUCAUACCCUACCGCAAAUAUAUCUUACAAGCACUGCUGGCUCUUGGGUUUGGCAGCCAUCUGUCCUUCUGCCUUGCCCUGAAAACACAAGAAUUUCCCACAUGGACUCACUCUCUCAGAGGUGAAACUUGUCUUUUUCACAGACUUUUUCAGGAGCUGCACGGCUGACUGGCACCCAAAGUGAUCCCGCUGCUGGUGCCCACCUGAGUGCCCAUGGGAGGGGAUGGGGCUGUGACAGCACUGGGAAGAGGUGGGAAUGGUGGGGGAAGCACCACAGUCACAGGAGCAGGGCUGGCAGAGGUGUCAGGAGCUGGCCAGCACUCAGACCAUAAAUGAUGCAGAAAGCAAUGUCCAAACUUGCAGGAGCAGCCUGAACCCUGAGUCUGUGGGUCCCCAUCUCCUGUGGAGCCUGCGUGGAGAUCAUACACCUGAAAUCUCCAAACCCUGCAUCUCGCUCUCCCAGGGCUUCACUGACCUUGCCCAGAAAAUGUUUCUUUUUAAAAAUACCUGAAUGGAGAUUCUGUGGUGGUCUUCAGUCAAUUCUCUCCACGUUUUGCCGCCCUGACUCCUCCUCUCUAGCCUGAGUCUUGCUUUCUCCUUCACCUCUAUCCUCCACAGGCCCUGAAAACACAUCACCCUCUCUCUUUACAGCUGUGCUUUAUAUAUUCAAAGACGAUUAUCACAUCCUCUCCCCCACACUUCUCUCCCAUCCAGACCAAACAAGUACAGUUCAUUCUCUGGAGCGUGUAACAACAAGAAGUUUGUUUGAUGAAUAAUCAAUUUGUUUAGCGCAGGGGCUCGAAUCACUCAAGUUAUGCCAAAGAUAACAAACCUUCAGCAAAUUUCUCUUCAAAUCUUAAAUUUUAUCAACUGUUUUGACAGCUAGAAUAUAAUUUUUACACAAAGGGUUAGAAUAAAAGCAAUUGCUUUCUAGUUUUUCUGUAUAAAGAUUUGAAUUAUGACUUUCACAUUAGGCAAUGCAAUUAAAUGCAUUCUAGAACUGUCAUGAAAUAUUAAACUUGGGGUUAUAAAAAGUAUUCUUUUAAUGAUUUGUAGUAUCUUUUAAAAGGAAUUAGCUGCAACAGUAUUUCUUAAACUAUAUAAAAAUAUAUAUCAGUAAUUGUUCAUUUCCACUUGUUUUACUGUUCAGCUCCAGUUGUGCCAGCCAAAAUGCUAAGUUUAUAAUCUUCAGGAUAUUUCUGGUAGUAAUGAAUUUUAUUUUAUUUUAUUUUACCAACUUUUUUUAUGGCACUUUUAAUUAGCCAGGGUUUAAUCCUGUUUAGGUUUUCUUUUACACAAAUAUUUUGAGAUGAGGAAUUAUUACACAAUAUGUUUGUCUAUAUGGAAAAUUUAUCUUAAAUGCAGUGAAGAAAGAAAGAACCAAAAAACGUCAGUAGGAAUUUUUUUUUAAAAAACAAACAUUUAUAUUGCAUGCUGAGCUUCCUUCCAGUUCAGAUUUUAGUUUUUGAAAGCCAAACUUAUCUUAAGGUAAAAGCUCAAAAGUUGAAACAUGAAAACACAGGGUGGGGGCCUGAAAAGCCGAGAAGUUUUGAGGCUCAGUUUCAAAGCAAACACAUCACCGUAAUGAGAAGUGUCCUGCAAAAACAGCCAGCUCUGCACGGGAUGCAGAGAGGAGCAGGUUCAGCCCUGCAGUGCUGUGGAGUCCCUGUGGGACCAUCUCCCCCCAGUUUGGCUGCUGACAGCCCAGAGUACCCUUGGGAAGUUUGCCUCUUCCCCAGAAAAUGUGUACAGACCCACAAAUCAAAAGAUGUUGAAAACCUUUGGUUUAUCUUGUUUAAAAAACAGGGAGUUUUAUGUGACUUUUUUUUCACCCAGUAGCUCUUCAGAUAAGUGGAUUUUGGUUUUCCUCUAUGAAAUUCUUACAAACCAAAAGAUUGCCUUGGUCCCAGAAAUGACAGUGCUGACUUAAUCCCACUUCCCAGGCAGUUAAGGGAACAGAAACUGAGGAGAAGAAAUAAUGCUGUACUUUUUAAUUCACUCUUCUGCUAAGAAAUUAAAUUGCUCAUCUCAGGCUUUGAAGCCUGAGACGGUCCAGCAGAAAAUCAACAAAAUAAAUUUUCAUGGAUCUCAAAAGUGAUUUUGAAGGACAAAUUAAAUCCUGACUUGCUCCUUACUCACAUGGUGCCAUAGCUUAUCUGGACAUGGUGGAUCUUCCUAAGCCAGCCUGUGUUAUGAUCUGGGAAAGGAUGGAGUAGUAUUGACAUGGAUAAAGUUUGGUAGAUUUUGUUGUUGUUGUUGUUGUUAGAAGAAGGGCCAAAUUGAUUUAGGAAUCUUUGUCUCUGUUAUUUUCAGGAUGUUUUUCUCCCUAGGUCUCUUGAAUUAUAUGCCAGAACCCUUGGAAGCUCAUGAUAGGGUCUGAAAUGCAAGCAGAAAGGAAACCCUCCUUCCCUAUACAAAACUUUCCCUGUCUCACAUCAGGGCUCAGUCCUUUCCUGGGAAAAUGUUGCUUUGUGUGUUUCUGUGGCAGCAUGCAGAGAAGUGCAAGAAUGAACUUUUAAAUGUGCAUCUAACUCAGGGAGCCCUUUGACAGAAGAUCUGAUUUGGCUCCUAAAAACCCCUCAAGUUUUCAGUAUGAAACCGAUGCAAAUUGAUGUUAUGGCCUGGUACAAAUUGCUCCUGUCCUGGGUUGAAAUGUCAUCUGAGUUCUGACCCUGAGCUCUGACCUGGGCAGCCCAAUUUGCCAGCCCAUGAUGACAUUUCCACAUUGAUUUGGGAACUGCACAAGAAAAGAUGUUUUUGUGAUCUGUUGGUGCUGGCUGCUUCUACUCACCAGACUCCAGGGCAAUUAGGCCAAGAGAAAACGGAUGCAGCAGUCACGGAGGUCUCCAGCUCUGCUCGUGAGAGAGCAGCUCUUGAAGCACAAAAGGGUUCAGGACUCAAAUCCAGCCCCAGAUGUAAGAGGAAGGUUUGUGGGGAUAUCUAACCUGGGGAAAAGGUUUCUAUUUUCUCCUCAUCUUGCCUCCUCCAGCCUGCACUGGAGCAGCCUUUGCCUGGAAAACACUUCAUUCCUAGGUGGCAAACCUUCAGUGCCCUGUUCCGCUCACAGGACUUUAAUCAGCCAGAGAACAUGGCCAGCCUCUGUUUUCUGAGCCUGCUGUUGGUAAAUGCUCUGUGAAAUGACUUCACAAUUGUUCCUGGAGCAAGCUGGCCCAAUGGCUGGCAAUUAAACCUCAGACUGAUGGAAACUGUUAGCAGGGAUUGCUGCCUUGCCCAUAGCGUCAGAGUUAACAACUCCAAGCUCUUUUUACUUUUUCUAUAAAACACGUGGGAGCUUUGUGCCUGGAAUAUCUGCAGCAAUAAAGUGGAUAUGGUGCUUGGCUUUUGUUUGUAGUGCUAAAAGUUGCAAGAAGAAAGAACAACUGAGGUUCAAGGUGAGAUCUGGUGUUUGCACUUGGUGAAGCACAUUCAGUCGGUAUCUCUGGGUUUGGUACAGCCCAUUGCUGUGAUUUAGACACCAGAUUUAGACUCAUGAUUCUUAUAUAGUCAUCUCAAAGGGAAUUAGGUGCCUACACCUUGCUGUAAGCCAACUCUUGCAGGGCUGGCC
Haemorhous mexicanus (house finch) is the source of this 6147-nucleotide long non-coding RNA. RefSeq lists it as uncharacterized. The record is from RefSeq and is a predicted model, not a curated record. NCBI's taxonomy places the organism in Eukaryota, Metazoa, Chordata, Aves, Passeriformes, Fringillidae. The transcript is spliced from 6 exons.